Molecule: RNA transcript, 1108 nt
Organism: Cucumis melo (muskmelon)
Lineage: Eukaryota; Viridiplantae; Streptophyta; Magnoliopsida; Cucurbitales; Cucurbitaceae
Gene name: double-stranded RNA-binding protein 3-like
Exons: 5
Source: RefSeq, a predicted model, not a curated record
AUCCUUGUUUUGAAAAGCGACAUUAAAGCUCCUUUUUAAUUUUAAUUUUAAUUUUUUAUUUUAUAAAAAAUGACUUUCUCUCUCUUACUUUACUCUUUCUCAAUCACCCACACGAUUUCAUCCUUCCAAUUUCUUCUUCACUCCUCAUUCUCAUCUAACAAUCUUCCCUUUCUUCUCCGAAGAGUCGCUGGCACCACCACCACCAUCGUCCCUCGUGCCCAGCUCGUGCCCGCCACCACCGCCGUCACUCGUCACUUUCUUCAAACACUGAUGUUGCUUUGGGGUUUUUUGCUUUGGGGUUGUCGACGAAAAGAAUGAUCCGUUUUCUAUGGCACCCCAAAAAGCACUUGAAAGUAUUGGAAAAACAUUGAGUGUACAGUAUGAGAGGCCCGUUAUAAAGUUCAGCUGGAUCCCACUGUGGAAGAGGUAAAAAAGCUUUGUAGUACAUGUCGCAAGUAUGCAAAGACUGAACGGGUUCUCUUCCAUUAUGUUUAAAUAUUAGUGUUGAUCCACCUGAUGUAAUUAAGAUUUCACCUUGUGCCAGAAUGGAGUGCUGGAUAGAUCCGUUUUCUAUGGCACCCCAAAAAGCACUUGAAAGUAUUGGAAAAACAUUGAGUGUACAGUAUGAGAGGUGGCAACCCAGGGUGGAGGGACUGCAUUUUGCUUGCAGCAUGUGAAUCACAUGAAACUCUUCCCCAAAGAGCUGAAUUUCCUGCAGAUGUUUUUACCUCUUGCCUUACAACACCAAUCAAGAUGGCCUUGAGAUGGUUAUUCGAGCUCGGUUGCUACAGUUCAAGAAGAGGAAUGUCAAGCCCUUGCUGCAUUUGGUGCUUGUUUCCAAUAUUAAUAAUUGUUUGAAGAAGCAUUUUCGAGACCUUUAAAAUGUCGUGAUCUUUGAAUUUAUAUAAUUCUGUUUGGUUGCAGUUAAUUUUACAAGCGUGUUUUCAUUGUUGGUGGAAUCAGACUUGAAUAAUAUGGGAUUUAUGUGCUUUAAGAUAUGAAUGGGAUUUAUUGUUGCUUUAAGAUAUGAAUGGGAUUUAUGUGCAAGUGCUAAUAGCAUUUUCAUUGUUGGUGGAAUCAGACUUGAAUAAUAUGGUUUCCUACGUAA